Long non-coding RNA from Mytilus californianus (California mussel), 955 nucleotides. RefSeq lists it as uncharacterized. The transcript is spliced from 3 exons. The record is from RefSeq and is a predicted model, not a curated record. Lineage: Eukaryota; Metazoa; Mollusca; Bivalvia; Mytilida; Mytilidae.
AGGUUCUUCUGUGAUAUGUUUUCAUGGUGUGGGAAUAAGACUUGGUGGUCUAAUACAGCUAAUACGAAGGUUAGCAUCACAGCUUGUCUGUAAAGAUUGAAGCUGGGAGUGGGCAUUGGAGUUGACUUUUAUGGUAACUGUGGCUGCAUAAAGGGCUAUGUGAUUUUACUGUAACAGUAAAGAUUGUAAUUCAGACUAUUUUUGUGUAUGUUUGAGAAAAUGUUUAUAAUUUUUACAAAAAGAAAAAAAAAAUUAUGUACAGGUUCUCCAUUUUCAACAAGAUUGGAAGUUGUAGGUUAAUAGGUCUUUGAAAUUUCAAAAAUUACUUUCUAUUUUCUGUUCAUACUCAUGUCUAGAGAAAACACUUCCAGUAGUUUAAGAAUGGAGAAUCUAAAAAAAAAAGAAAAAAAAAAAAAAAGAAAAGAAAAAAAUGUUCAAUUAUUGAAAUGUUUUUUUUUUUGGCAAAUUGUAAUAUAUUUUUUCACCUUUGUGUCAUUUUUAGCUGAGUUUAUAACAAAGGGUAUAUCAUUUUAAGAAUAUUUUACAAGAAGCAUAGUUGAAGAAUAUCUUGAUGAAAGUAGAUUGAUUGAUUUUUGGUAUUUAACACCACUUUCAGCAUGAUUUGCUAUAUCUUGGCUGCCAGUUUUUAUUUGUGGAGACAGCCUGGUGAAAACAUCCCCUUCAACAGAGAAACUGGCAACUCUAGUCAAUUAAGAUUGACGUUAAACACACCUACAAUGUGAGGGUUCAGAGUGUUGACAGGCUAGUGAUACAGUAGUUGAACUACUUUGACCAUUCAGCCACCAUUACUCCAUCCACACUAAAUAUGUUAUUGAAAUGUGUUGAAUUUUUGUAAUUUAAUUAUUUUUUUAUUUUGAUUACCGGUAUACUAUUUAUGUUUUUUUGUUAUAUAUAACAAAGAUGGGGAGUUCUAACAGGGUGAAAUUUAGGUCAA